AUUGAACGCUGGCGGCAUGCUUUACACAUGCAAGUCGAACGGCAGCGCGGGGGCAACCCUGGCGGCGAGUGGCGAACGGGUGAGUAAUACAUCGGAACGUAUCCCGUAGAGGGGGAUAGCUCGGCGAAAGCCGGAUUAAUACCGCAUAUGCUCUACGGAGGAAAGCAGGGGACCCGCAAGGGCCUUGCGCUAUGGGAGCGGCCGAUGUCCGAUUAGCUUGUUGGUGGGGUAAAGGCUUACCAAGGCGACGAUCGGUAGCUGGUCUGAGAGGAUGAUCAGCCACACUGGGACUGAGACACGGCCCAGACUCCUACGGGAGGCAGCAGUGGGGAAUUUUUGGACAAUGGGGGAAACCCUGAUCCAGCCAUGCCGCGUGAGUGAAGAAGGCCUUCGGGUUGUAAAGCUCUUUUGGCCGG
RNAcentral lists this ribosomal RNA (416 nucleotides) under uncultured bacterium. Its description in RNAcentral is "bacterial SSU rRNA". It matches the Rfam family "Bacterial small subunit ribosomal RNA", at positions 29 to 443 of the family's 1533-position model. The record is from RNAcentral.